CCUACGGGUGGCUGCAGUCGAGAAUCAUUCACAAUGGGGGAAACCCUGAUGGUGCGACGCCGCGUGGGGGCAUGAAGGUCUUCGGAUUGUAAACUGCUUUUAUAAGCGAGAAAUAUGAUGGUAACUUAUGAAUAAGGAUCUGCUAACUACGUGCCAGCAGACGCGGUCAUACGUAGGAUCCGAGCAUUAUCCGGAGUGACUGGGUGUAAAGAGUUGCGUAUGUGGCAUAAUAAGUAGCUAGUGAAAUCUGGUGGCUCAACCAUUCAGACUAUUAGCUAAACUGUUAAGCUCGAGACCGUUAGGGGUAACUGGAAUUUCUAGUGUAGGAGUGAAAUCCGUAGAUAUGAGAAGGAACACCAAUAGCGUAGGCAGGUUACUGGGACGGUUCUGACACUAAGGCACGAAAGCGUAGGGAGCAAACGGGAUUAGAUACCCCUGUAGUC
RNAcentral lists this ribosomal RNA (443 nucleotides) under uncultured bacterium. RNAcentral describes it as "partial 16S ribosomal RNA". It matches the Rfam family "Bacterial small subunit ribosomal RNA", at positions 338 to 795 of the family's 1533-position model. The record is from RNAcentral.